RNAcentral lists this ribosomal RNA (178 nucleotides) under uncultured Oenococcus sp. RNAcentral's name for it is "partial 16S ribosomal RNA". Lineage: Bacteria; Bacillati; Bacillota; Bacilli; Lactobacillales; Lactobacillaceae. The record is from RNAcentral.
GGGGGACGAGCACGCUGACAGGGAGGAACAUCAAGCUGAAACUUUCUCUGAAUUCAGUUAUUCUUCCCUUACAACAGUGCUUUACGACCCGAAAGCCUUCAUCACACACGCGGCGUCGCUCCGUCACACUUUCGUGCAUUGCGGAAAAUUCCCUACUGCUGCCUCCCGUAGGAGUAGG